This is a non-coding RNA of Brachypodium distachyon (stiff brome), 136 nucleotides long. Lineage: Eukaryota; Viridiplantae; Streptophyta; Magnoliopsida; Poales; Poaceae. The record is from Rfam.
AAUGUACUUCCUCCGUCCAACAAAGGAUGUCUCAAUGUUGACUAAAUUUGAAUGCAUCUAUGCACUAAGUCAUGUCUAGAUACAUCCAAAUUUUGACAAAUUUGAGACAUUUUUUGUUGAACGGAGUAAGUAUGUU